This 1896-nucleotide ribosomal RNA is filed under the name Triticum aestivum (bread wheat). RNAcentral's name for it is "partial small subunit ribosomal RNA". The record is from RNAcentral. Lineage: Eukaryota; Viridiplantae; Streptophyta; Magnoliopsida; Poales; Poaceae.
AUGAGCUCUUCUUCUCCUCGCCCGCCGACGUCGCGGGCCGCGUCGCCGUACGGGUGCUGCUGCCACCGCCCGCUCCUCGCGUCCACCUCCGCGCCGACCAGGAGCAGAGGCGCUCGCCUCGCGCUCACGCUCAGCUCCUCGUCCCUCCCGCUUCCGGCCGGCCCUCGCAGCAGGUCGAGGAGCCGGAGGGUGGCAUGCCGUGCGGCCGACGAGCCUGGGCCAGCCGCCAGCAAUGGCGACGAGGCUGUGGAUGAUGCUCCAUCGCCUCCAGCCGACAGUGUUGUCCAAGCAGAUGCAGCUGCAGAGACAGAUAAUACGAAAGAUGAAUCCCCGAAUGCAGAGCCGCUAAACUCCGCUCUCACAUCGCUUCAGAACAUCGACCGGUAUGCUAAAGCAGCCGCUGACAGCGCCGCGCAGACGAAAGAUGAAUCCCCCAAUGCAGAGCCAGUAAGCGCCGCUGUCAAAUCACUUCAGAACAUCGACCGGUAUGUCAAUGCAGCCGCUGACAGCGCUGCGCAGACGAAAGAUGAAUCCCCGAAUGCAGAGCCGGUAAGCGCUAGCGACACGGUUCAGAGCAUCGACGGAGAUGCUACUGCAGCCGCUGACAGCGCUGCGCAGGAGCAGCUGCUGGAGGUUGAUGUUAAUGUUGCUAGUGGCUCUCCUUUGCCUGGAAUGAAGCAACAACUUGAAGAAGCUGUGAGUAUCCCCAAGGCUACAGUAGACAUUCUAAAGGAUCAAGUUUUCAGUUUUGACACGUUCUUCGUGACCAGCCACGAGCCUUACGAGGGUGGAAUACUAUUUAAAGGGAACUUGCGUGGUGUGCCAGCCAAAAGUUUUGAAAAGAUCACAACUCGACUAGAGAACAAAUUUGGCGAUGAAUUUAAGGUUUUUCUUCUCAUCAAUCCAGAGGAUGAGAAGCCAGUUGCAGUAGUUGUACCUAAGCAGACAGUGGAGCCUGCCACUGGAUGUAAUAAUUCUUUCCUCAUAGUCGACGCUAAAGGAAUUGGUCAAAUAUCUUUCUUAUCUGUCCCAGAGUGGGCUGCUGCUGGUGCGUUCGGAGUAGUUACCAUCUUCACUCUGUUGCUUCGGAACGUACCUGUCCUUCAGGACAACUUGCUAUCAACAUUUGAUAACCUUGAGCUAUUGAAAGAUGGACUUCCCGGUGCCCUGGUAACGGGACUCAUAGUAGGGGUUCAUGAAAUUGGACACAUCCUCGCUGCUAAGGAUGCUGGGGUCAAGCUUUCAGUACCAUAUUUUGUUCCUAGCUGGCAGAUAGGAUCUUUUGGUGGCAUCACCAGAAUAGUCAAUAUUGUACGCAAUCGCGGGGACCUGCUCAAGGUAGCAGCUGCUGGACCGGUUGCGGGGUUUUCGCUCGGAUUUGGUCUUCUUCUGCUGGGCUUCACGUUACCUCCAAGUGACGGUCUUGGUAUCAUCGUAGAUCCCGCCGUAUUUCAUCAAUCAUUUCUUCUUGGUGGUCUUGCAAAGCUUAUUCUUGGAGAUGUUCUAAAAGAAGGAACACAGCUAUCAAUCAACCCACUGGUUUUGUGGGCUUGGGCUGGUCUCCUGAUCAACGCCAUUAACAGCAUCCCUGCAGGAGAGCUCGACGGCGGCCGCAUAGCGCUCGCCAUGUGGGGAAGAAAGGUAUCAUCCCGGCUCGGCAGCGUCACCAUUGCAUUGCUCGGGCUCUCGUCGCUCUUCAGCGACGUGGCGUUCUACUGGGCGGUGCUCAUCUUCUUCCUGCAGAGGGGUCCGAUAGCUCCCCUCUCCGAGGAGAUAACGGAGCCCGAGAACAUCUACAUCGGCCUCGGCGUCGCCAUUUUGUUCCUGGGGCUGCUGGUCUGCCUGCCCUACCCAUUCCUCUUCGACCCUUCGCAAGUUACUGAUUUCGACUUUUGA